GUCACCGUGGUGUAGUGGUUAUCACGUGAGUCUCACACACUCAAGGUCCCCAGUUCGAUCCUGGGCGGUGACA
Allomyces macrogynus ATCC 38327 is the source of this 73-nucleotide transfer RNA. It matches the Rfam family "tRNA". From Rfam's summary of the family: Transfer RNA (tRNA) molecules are approximately 80 nucleotides in length. NCBI's taxonomy places the organism in Eukaryota, Fungi, Blastocladiomycota, Blastocladiomycetes, Blastocladiales, Blastocladiaceae. The record is from Rfam.